This is a long non-coding RNA of Ictalurus punctatus (channel catfish), 1111 nucleotides long. NCBI's taxonomy places the organism in Eukaryota, Metazoa, Chordata, Actinopteri, Siluriformes, Ictaluridae. The record is from Ensembl.
ACACGAAUCCACCUGAAGACGAUGAAGGGAAAGACACGAACCUGCCUGAAGACGCUGAAGGGAAAGACACGAAUCCAUCUGAAGACGAUGAAGGGAAAGACACGAACCUGCCUGAAGACGCUGAAGGCAAAGACACGAAUCCACCUGAAGACGAUGAAGGCAAAGACACGAAUCCAUCUGAAGAUGAUGAAGGUAAAGACACGAACGUACCUGAAGAUGAUGAAGGUAAAGACACAAAUCCACCUGAAGAUGAUGAAGGUAAAGACACAAACCCACCAGAAGACGAUGAAGAUAAAGACACAAAUCAACCUGAUGAUGAAGGGAAAGACACAAGUCCACAAGAAGAUGAUGAAGGUAAAGACAAGAAUCCACCUGAAGAUGCUGAAGGGAAAGACACAAAUCCAACUGAAGACGAUGAAGGUAAAGACACAAAUCCAUCUGAAGAUGAUGAAGGUAAAGACAAGAAUUCACCUGAUGAUGAUGAAGGGAAAGACACCAACCUACCUAAAGACGAUGAAAGGAAAGACACGAUUCCACCUGAAGCUGAUGAAGGGAAAGACACGAACCCACCUGAAGACGAUGAAGGCAAAGACACAAACCCACCAGAAGACAAUGAAGAUAAAGACACAAAUCAACCUGAUGAUGAAGGGAAAGACACAAGUCCAGAAGAAGAUGGUGAAAGUAAAGACAAGAAUCCACCUGAAGAUGAUGAAGGGAAAGACAAGAAUCCACCUGAAGAUGAUGAAGGUAAAGACAUGAAUCCACCUGAAGACGAUGAAGAGAAAGAGACAAAUCCAUCUGAGGAUGAUGAAGGUAAAGACACGAAUAAAUCUGAAGAUGAUGAAGGUAAAGACACAAAUCCACCUGAAGAUGAUGAAGGUAAAGACACGAACCUACCUGAAGAUGAUGAAGGCAAAGACACGAUUCCACCUGAAGACGAUAAAGGGAAAGACAAGAAUCCACCUGAAGACGAUGAAGGGAAAGAGACAAAUCCACCUGAAGACGAUGAAGGGAAAGACAAGAAUCCACCUGAAGACGAUGAAGGGAAAGACACAAAUCCACCUGAAGACGAUGAAGGGAAAGACAAGAAUCCACCUGAAGACGAUGAAGG